AGAGUUUGAUCCUGGCUCAGGACGAACGCUGGCGGCGUGCCUAAUACAUGCAAGUAGAACGCUGAAGGAGGAGCUUGCUUCUCUGGAUGAGUUGCGAACGGGUGAGUAACGCGUAGGUAACCUGCCUGGUAGUGGGGGAUAACUAUUGGAAACGAUAGCUAAUACCGCAUAACAGUAGAUAUUGCAUGAUAUCUGCUUGAAAGGUGCAAUUGCAUCACUACCAGAUGGACCUGCGUUGUAUUAGCUAGUUGGUGAGGUAACGGCUCACCAAGGCGACGAUACAUAGCCGACCUGAGAGGGUGAUCGGCCACACUGGGACUGAGACACGGCCCAGACUCCUACGGGAGGCAGCAGUAGGGAAUCUUCGGCAAUGGACGGAAGUCUGACCGAGCAACGCCGCGUGAGUGAAGAAGGUUUUCGGAUCGUAAAGCUCUGUUGUAAGAGAAGAACGAGUGUGAGAGUGGAAAGUUCACACUGUGACGGUAUCUUACCAGAAAGGGACGGCUAACUACGUGCCAGCAGCCGCGGUAAUACGUAGGUCCCGAGCGUUGUCCGGAUUUAUUGGGCGUAAAGCGAGCGCAGGCGGUUAGAUAAGUCUGAAGUUAAAGGCUGUGGCUUAACCAUAGUACGCUUUGGAAACUGUUUAACUUGAGUGCAAGAGGGGAGAGUGGAAUUCCAUGUGUAGCGGUGAAAUGCGUAGAUAUAUGGAGGAACACCAGUGGCGAAGGCGACUUUCUGGUCUGUAACUGACGCUGAUGUGCGAAAGCGUGGGGAUCAAACAGGAUUAGAUACCCUGGUAGUCCACGCCGUAAA
Molecule: ribosomal RNA, 813 nt
Filed under: uncultured bacterium
Lineage: Bacteria
Description: bacterial SSU rRNA
Rfam family: Bacterial small subunit ribosomal RNA
Source: RNAcentral